Theobroma umbraticum is the source of this 2248-nucleotide RNA transcript. It is a transcript of the gene named lysophospholipid acyltransferase 1-like, with no coding region annotated. Lineage: Eukaryota; Viridiplantae; Streptophyta; Magnoliopsida; Malvales; Malvaceae. The record is from RefSeq and is a predicted model, not a curated record.
UGCGCGUGCCCUUCGACAGUUUCCACUGUCGUUUCCUAACUAUAGAUUUUCUCCACUCAAUCAUCAUCAGCCAAGCCUGACGACAGAUAAUGCUAUCACCUUAUUGUACUUUUAGGGUUCAAGGUAAGUCAAACCCUGUUAGAACCAAAAGUCAAAUCUAUCAAGCGUAUGUUCCUAAGUACGGCCGCACGAGAUAAAACCCCAGAGGAGGACAAUUUUGUACUCUUAUAUCCCGAGCAGAGAGAGAUCGACGUCCGCUACAAGCUUACUGAGCGGACUCAAAGGACUCGGUCAGACUCAAAUCCCAAAGCGAAGAUGGAACUCGACAUGGGAACUAUGGCGGAAUCCAUCGGGGUAUCGGUGCCGGUGCUUCGAUUUCUUCUAUGUUUCGUGGCGACGAUACCGGUGAGUUUUUCAUGGCGACUUGUUCCGGGUCGACUAGCUAAACACGUUUACUCAGCAUUUUCAGGAGCGUUGCUUUCCUAUCUGUCAUUUGGGUUCUCUUCGAAUCUGCAUUUCUUGGUGCCCAUGGUGUUGGGUUAUGCUGCAAUGGUUCUUUAUCGGCCCAAGUGUGGGGUUAUCACAUUUUUCUUGGGUUUUGGUUAUUUGAUUGGCUGCCAUGUAUAUUACAUGAGCGGGGAUGCUUGGAAGGAAGGAGGCAUCGAUGCGACUGGAGCGUUGAUGGUCUUGACACUGAAAGUCAUUUCAUGUGCGAUAAAUUACAAUGAUGGGUUGUUGAAAGAGGAAGGGUUACGUGAGGCUCAGAAGAAAAAUCGAUUGAUUAAGUUGCCUUCAUUGAUUGAGUAUUUUGGGUACUGCCUCUGCUGUGGCAGUCACUUUGCUGGUCCAGUUUAUGAGAUGAAGGACUACCUUGAGUGGACUGAAGGGAAGGGGAUUUGGGCUCAUUCAGAUAAAAGAUCUCCAUCACCUUAUGGGGCGACUUUCCGAGCACUUGUCCAAGCUGCUAUCUGCAUGGCAUUGUAUCUUUACCUUGUACCAUAUCAUCCCUUGACACGUUUUACUGAACCCAUAUACCAAGAAUGGGGAUUCUGGAAGAAAUUGAGUUACCAGUAUAUGUCUGGCUUUACAGCACGUUGGAAAUAUUAUUUCAUCUGGUCAAUUUCGGAGGCCUCUAUUAUUAUCUCUGGCCUUGGUUUCAGUGGAUGGACAGAAUCUUCACCCCCAAAACCGAAGUGGGAUCGUGCAAAGAAUGUUGACAUCCUAGGGGUUGAGCUAGCAAAGAGUUCUGUUGUGUUACCACUUGUGUGGAACAUACAAGUCAGCACCUGGCUUCGUCAUUAUGUUUAUGAGAGACUUAUUACAAAAGGGAAGAAACCUGGGUUUUUCCAGUUGCUGGCCACACAGACUGUCAGUGCUGUUUGGCAUGGAUUGUAUCCUGGGUACAUCAUAUUCUUUGUUCAGUCAGCUUUGAUGAUUGCUGGUUCAAGAGUUAUUUUCCGAUGGGAACAAGCUACGAAUAUGGCUCUUGUGAAAAAAGCAUUUGUCUUGAUGAACUUUGCUUACACACUCUUGGUUCUGAACUACUCUGCCGUUGGUUUUAUGGUAUUAAGCAUGCAUGAGACACUUGCCUCAUACAGUAGUGUGUACUAUAUCGGAACCAUCCUUCCCAUAGCAUUGAUUCUUCUUGGUUACAUUAUACCCGCCAAGCCUGCCAGAUCUAAAGCCCGUAAAGAACAGUGAGGCUAAAGCCGUAUAUUCUUCUCUUUGGAGUGAGGAAGAGCACUGGUUUCUCUGGUUAGGAUGAUUUAUGGUGUUAGCAUUGGAGACAGUUUGGAAGUUUUUUGUUUUCCCCCAUGUUCCUCGCUUGUGGUGUGAUUAUUCCCUGCUUUGCUUUUGGCUUUGGGCUGGCAUUGCCAUUGCUGUUGCUUUCCCAAUACCAUACCGUUGGCAAAGGUUCUGGUCUUACCUGAAAAGCUGAAGAACCUGUUGGUCAAAAAGUAACAACAACACUAGUUACUCGGCAGGCUGGAUGUGGAUCAGCAGAUCAGAGAAUUGUAGGCUUUCAAUUUGAUCACGUGUCAUAAUGGUCAACCUUUUUAUUAUUCCAACCUUUGGAAUUCUGUUCCAGCUAGCCUCUCAAUGGCAAAAUCAUACCCGGAAUGUUACAGUUGGACUUAACUUGUCAUUUUAAUUGCAGUCAUUAUUCUCUUUCUAGAAAGUUAAUCUCACGAGAUGAGUCAUUGUCAAGUAAUUAUUAUUUUUUGAUGAAUAAAUUAAUUUGAUAGAA